This 231-nucleotide unclassified non-coding RNA is filed under the name uncultured fungus. RNAcentral's name for it is "sequence contains ITS1, 5.8S rRNA gene". The stretch from base 183 to 231 matches the Rfam family "5.8S ribosomal RNA", at positions 1 to 49 of the family's 154-position model. Lineage: Eukaryota; Fungi. The record is from RNAcentral.
UCUCCGUAGGUGAACCUGCGGAGGGAUCAUUACCGAGUGAGGGUCCUUGUGGCCCGACCUCCAACCCCCUGUCUUCCGACUCUGUUGCCUCGGGGGCGACCCGGCCUUCGGGCGUCUUGGGGCCCCCGGUGGACCACUCAACACUGCAUCUUUGCGUCUGAGUAAAUAUUUGAAUCAAUCAAAACUUUCAACAACGGAUCUCUUGGUUCUGGCAUCGAUGAAGAACGCAGC